RNAcentral lists this ribosomal RNA (1413 nucleotides) under Bacillus sp. (in: firmicutes). RNAcentral describes it as "bacterial SSU rRNA". It matches the Rfam family "Bacterial small subunit ribosomal RNA". The record is from RNAcentral. Lineage: Bacteria; Bacillati; Bacillota; Bacilli; Caryophanales; Bacillaceae.
GUCGAGCGAAUCUGAGGGAGCUUGCUCCCAAAGAUUAGCGGCGGACGGGUGAGUAACACGUGGGCAACCUGCCUGUAAGACUGGGAUAACUUCGGGAAACCGGAGCUAAUACCGGAUAAUCCUUUUCUACUCAUGUGGAAAAGCUGAAAGAUGGCUUCGGCUAUCACUUACAGAUGGGCCCGCGGCGCAUUAGCUAGUUGGUGAGGUAACGGCUCACCAAGGCGACGAUGCGUAGCCGACCUGAGAGGGUGAUCGGCCACACUGGGACUGAGACACGGCCCAGACUCCUACGGGAGGCAGCAGUAGGGAAUCUUCCGCAAUGGACGAAAGUCUGACGGAGCAACGCCGCGUGAGUGAUGAAGGUUUUCGGAUCGUAAAACUCUGUUGUUAGGGAAGAACAAGUACCGUUCGAAUAGGGCGGUACCUUGACGGUACCUAACCAGAAAGCCACGGCUAACUACGUGCCAGCAGCCGCGGUAAUACGUAGGUGGCAAGCGUUGUCCGGAAUUAUUGGGCGUAAAGCGCGCGCAGGUGGUUUCUUAAGUCUGAUGUGAAAGCCCCCGGCUCAACCGGGGAGGGUCAUUGGAAACUGGGAGACUUGAGUGCAGAAGAGGAAAGUGGAAUUCCAAGUGUAGCGGUGAAAUGCGUAGAGAUUUGGAGGAACACCAGUGGCGAAGGCGACUUUCUGGUCUGUAACUGACACUGAGGCGCGAAAGCGUGGGGAGCGAACAGGAUUAGAUACCCUGGUAGUCCACGCCGUAAACGAUGAGUGCUAAGUGUUAGAGGGUUUCCGCCCUUUAGUGCUGCAGCAAACGCAUUAAGCACUCCGCCUGGGGAGUACGGCCGCAAGGCUGAAACUCAAAGGAAUUGACGGGGGCCCGCACAAGCGGUGGAGCAUGUGGUUUAAUUCGAAGCAACGCGAAGAACCUUACCAGGUCUUGACAUCCUCUGACAAUCCUAGAGAUAGGACGUUCCCCUUCGGGGGACAGAGUGACAGGUGGUGCAUGGUUGUCGUCAGCUCGUGUCGUGAGAUGUUGGGUUAAGUCCCGCAACGAGCGCAACCCUUGAUCUUAGUUGCCAGCAUUCAGUUGGGCACUCUAAGGUGACUGCCGGUGACAAACCGGAGGAAGGUGGGGAUGACGUCAAAUCAUCAUGCCCCUUAUGACCUGGGCUACACACGUGCUACAAUGGAUGGUACAAAGGGCUGCAAGACCGCGAGGUUUAGCCAAUCCCAUAAAACCAUUCUCAGUUCGGAUUGCAGGCUGCAACUCGCCUGCAUGAAGCCGGAAUCGCUAGUAAUCGCGGAUCAGCAUGCCGCGGUGAAUACGUUCCCGGGCCUUGUACACACCGCCCGUCACACCACGAGAGUUUGUAACACCCGAAGUCGGUGGGGUAACCGCAAGGAGCCAGCCG